This 385-nucleotide ribosomal RNA is filed under the name Salmonella enterica subsp. enterica serovar Senftenberg. RNAcentral describes it as "bacterial SSU rRNA". It matches the Rfam family "Bacterial small subunit ribosomal RNA", at positions 873 to 1258 of the family's 1533-position model. Lineage: Bacteria; Pseudomonadati; Pseudomonadota; Gammaproteobacteria; Enterobacterales; Enterobacteriaceae. The record is from RNAcentral.
CUGGGGAGUACGGCCGCAAGGUUAAAACUCAAAUGAAUUGACGGGGGCCCGCACAAGCGGUGGAGCAUGUGGUUUAAUUCGAUGCAACGCGAAGAACCUUACCUGGUCUUGACAUCCACGGAAGAAUUCAGAGAUGGAUUUGUGCCUUCGGGAACCGUGAGACAGGUGCUGCAUGGCUGUCGUCAGCUCGUGUUGUGAAAUGUUGGGUUAAGUCCCGCAACGAGCGCAACCCUUAUCCUUUGUUGCCAGCGGUCCGGCCGGGAACUCAAAGGAGACUGCCAGUGAUAAACUGGAGGAAGGUGGGGAUGACGUCAAGUCAUCAUGGCCCUUACGACCAGGGCUACACACGUGCUACAAUGGCGCAUACAAAGAGAAGCGACCUCGC